This 240-nucleotide unclassified non-coding RNA is filed under the name soil metagenome. Its description in RNAcentral is "partial contains 5.8S ribosomal RNA, internal transcribed spacer 2, and large subunit ribosomal RNA". The record is from RNAcentral.
AACGCACGAGACCUGCGGACCUGCGGAAGGAUCAUUAAUGAGAAACUGCCCCUCGCGGGUAGAUCUCCCACCCUUUGUAAACUUACCUUUGUUGCUUUGGCAGGCCCGUCUCCGGACCGCCGGCUUCGGCUGGCCAGUGCCUGCCAGAGGAUUCUAAAACUCUGUCUGUCAGUGUUGUCUGAGUCUAUAUACAAUCGUUAAAACUUUCAACAAUGGAUCUCUAGAUCGGAAGAGCACACG